Molecule: ribosomal RNA, 135 nt
Filed under: uncultured bacterium
Lineage: Bacteria
Description: partial 16S ribosomal RNA
Rfam family: Bacterial small subunit ribosomal RNA
Source: RNAcentral
UGGGGAAUCUUAGACAAUGGGCGCAAGCCUGAUCUAGCCAUACCGCGUGAGUGAUGAAGGCCUUAGGGUCGUAAAGCUCUUUCGCCAGGGAUGAUAAUGACAGUACCUGGUAAAGAAGUCCCGGCUAACUCCGUG